UACAGAGGGGGCAAGCGUUGUUCGGAAUUACUGGGCGUAAAGGGCGCGUAGGCGGCCUGCUAAGUCGAACGUGAAAUCCCUGGGCUCAACCCAGGAACUGCGUCCGAUACUGGUUGGCUUGAAUCCGGGAGAGGGAUGUGGAAUUCCAGGUGUAGCGGUGAAAUGCGUAGAUAUCUGGAGGAACACCGGUGGCGAAGGCGACAUCCUGGACCGGUAUUGACGCUGAGGCACGAAAGCCAGGGGAGCAAACGGG
RNAcentral lists this ribosomal RNA (253 nucleotides) under uncultured bacterium. RNAcentral describes it as "partial 16S ribosomal RNA". It matches the Rfam family "Bacterial small subunit ribosomal RNA", at positions 524 to 776 of the family's 1533-position model. The record is from RNAcentral.